Molecule: long non-coding RNA, 1443 nt
Filed under: Gossypium raimondii (Peruvian cotton)
Lineage: Eukaryota; Viridiplantae; Streptophyta; Magnoliopsida; Malvales; Malvaceae
Description: long non-coding RNA (GRAI_LNC004297)
Source: RNAcentral
UCUCUAAACCCACCACAAACAUAACUAAUUAACAUAUUUAAAGACUCAUGAAACAUAUAAUUACAACAAUGCAUUUAUAUUCAUCACCGAACUAUACUAGUCAAACAUUCAUCUCAUAUUCCUAUUUGUGAUACAAAUCUCACCCGAAACAUGUUACCUGAAUAGCGAAUAAUUGAAAGAUGAGAUAUCGACUUUUUCGUUGAUAUCUUUUUGACCUUUUUAUUUAUAUCCUUUUCAACCUUCUUCAAUAGAUCAUUUAUACAUCAUCAACAUGGAUCAACCUGUUAUUGGCACCCGAUGCCCGACGGAUAAAUCGUAACAAAGUUUUGCGCCCAGCCCUAGUCGGAUAAACCAAUGAUAGGUGUGCCCUGCACUAGUCGAAUAGAUCAACAAUGUUUUGCACCCAGCGCUAGUCAGAUAAACCGAUGAUAUCAAAUGUGUGCCCAACACUAGUUAGAUAAACAAACAAUCAGUUGCGCCCAAUGCUAGUCGGAUAAACCGAUGAUAUCAAAUGUGUGCCCAGCACUAGUCGAAUAAACCGAUAAUGAUUUGCGCCCAGCACUAGCCGGAUAAACCGACAAAUACAUACAUAAUUACAUAAUUCCACAAUUCUUCAAUUCAUAAUUUAAAUCCUUUACAUUAAUCUUCUAUAUUAAAUUUCUAUAACCCACUCCAUAACCAUCUUCAUAUAUAUAUAUUUCCAUAACAUUACAUUUAAAAUACUAAUCAUUUGAAUACAUAUAAUUGACUAUCAAAUUAACUAAUAAUCAAACUAAUUGCAUAAAUAAAGUUCGAGUGUAAGGACUACGAACUUACCUCAACUACAACCGUUGUAAAAACUUAAUCGAGAACUAAUCCAAAACUUUAGCUUUUUCACGAUUUAAGUCCGGUUGUUGUAUAUCUUAGUCUAAAUAGUAAUUUAAUUCAAUUAAACAAUUCAAAUAAAUUAAAAUAACUAAUUCAAGCCUAUAAUCCAUUUUAAGGUGAAUUUACGGAAUUACCACUAACAUUUUAACUUUUGUGCAAUUUAGUCUCUAAUCCCAAAACUUGCAAAUUCACUAUUUUAAACUAAAAAUCAUGCUAGCUGAUUUUUAAUAGAUUCACAAACAGCCCAUUUAUUCUUCCAUUUCACAUAAUUAUCAUUAAAUUUUACUAUUUUUUUAAAAUAAAUCCUUAAACACCAAUUCAUCAAAAAUCACUUAACAAAAUAAGUUUAUUCAACAACCAAGCUUACUAUUAUAUCAACCAAAUUCAAAACACAACCAAACUCAUUCUUGGUGAGUCCCUAAACUUUUAACAGUUUUACAAAUUGACCUCCGAGUUAGUUAAACUAAGCUAAAACGAUCUCAAAAACAUAAAAUUCAUUAAAAACAUGGUCAAAAUCACUUACCAUGCAUGAACAAAUGUUGACCGAAGCUCUCUAAUUCUCUAAUGAAGGGUUCU